AGCUCUGAAGAGCGGAGAUUGGCGAUUUGGGGUGCUGGGUACGCCUCGGUUUCAAGUUGUGGCUGGAGGAUCUCCGCCGUCGUGUUGUUCCGGCUGUCGGUGCUACUUCCGCGGCUGCUCCUUGGGCGCAGCUUCGCCGUCCACACGAAUUGUGUCGUUGCUGUUCUGGUCAUCCAUCUCGCCAUGCGUCUUCUCAGCCUGCAUCGCCGUUGCUGUUCUGGUCAUCCAUCUCGUCGUGCGUCUACUCGGCCUGCUGCUUUGCCCUGCGUGCGAUCUGAUGGAAUGCAUUCAACAUACAUGGUGGAAGAGAGUUGCCCCCAGGCCCCCCACUACUGAACCACGACGUCCACAAUAAGGAGAUGGAGAUCAUCGUCCCAGGGGGUUGACGAUAUAUCUAUGGAUAUUAUACUGACUGAUAGCCCAUGGUUCAUUUGAGCUCACUUUGGCACGAAUGCCGUGAUGAAGGAGAGAAAAAAGGAAAAAGUUGCUAUGGUUUUCCUUGCAGCUCAAUUUUCACCCUUCCCAGGUUAAUAUUCACUAUUUUCUUUGGACCAAGUUUAUGCUGCCUUUUCUCUGCACACACAUCAUCAGAACUGAACAAAGAGGCAUCACAUAGGUUUAGAUGGUGCGUGUGAACAUGGUUUAAGAUAUGAUGUUUCUUGGAGAGAGCAAACUAACCUUUUCAAUUUCACGAUCUAUUAACUAAAAUAUUGAUCAACGACACAUUCUGAUCUUCAGCUUUGUUUUUGCCUUAUUGUCACUUAAUUAGGUAAUAUAGUAAGAAAGCAUAGUGAAUGAGACUCGAAGGAAUUUUGAUGUCAACUCGUGAUUAGCAGAACUUAAAAUGAUCUCUUUAGACAAGUAUCAGAUUGAAGGAACCAAUAUAGAACCAUA
Triticum aestivum (bread wheat) is the source of this 894-nucleotide long non-coding RNA. RefSeq lists it as uncharacterized. The record is from RefSeq and is a predicted model, not a curated record. Lineage: Eukaryota; Viridiplantae; Streptophyta; Magnoliopsida; Poales; Poaceae. The transcript has 4 exons.